This 253-nucleotide ribosomal RNA is filed under the name uncultured bacterium. Its description in RNAcentral is "partial 16S ribosomal RNA". It matches the Rfam family "Bacterial small subunit ribosomal RNA", at positions 524 to 776 of the family's 1533-position model. The record is from RNAcentral.
UACGAAGGGGACUAGCGUUGUUCGGAAUCACUGGGCGUAAAGCGCACGUAGGCGGAUAUGUCAGUCAGGGGUGAAAUCCCGGGGCUCAACCUCGGAACUGCCCUUGAUACAGCAUGUCUUGAGUCCGAUAGAGGUGGGUGGAACUCCUAGUGUAGAGGUGAAAUUCGUAGAUAUUAGGAAGAACACCGGUGGCGAAGGCGGCCCACUGGAUCGGUACUGACGCUGAGGUGCGAAAGCGUGGGGAGCAAACAGG